CUCUAUAGUACGCAUUACUUUAUUAUUCUGUGUUUAAAAUUUUCGGCUGUUUUAAUCGUUCCAUUAUAAUAUAUAAUUAGUAACAGUCAACAGCAUGCCUUAAUUAUAUAUGUUUUAUAAUAUAUAGAUAAGCUACGAAAAACAAAUUGUUCUCUUCAGGAUAAGUGUAAAACGCUUGAAAGGAAAACAAUGGAUAAAGGAAAUCAUUGAUUCCAAAAUCAUUGAUUUCUAGAAUGCCGCAAAACAUGUUUCCGCGGCUUACGCUAUCGUACAGUGCAAUCACUCUCGCGGAAAACUUCCUCGUCCCACGAAUGUAUAACCGCGGCCAGGUCCUCCGUACCGAAAGGGUUAAUAAUAAAAAGGAAAAUAAAUAUUUAAUAUACCUAUUUUUCAUUAAAUUAUGUUAUUAUCAUUUUCCAGCAAAUAUUUAUAGUAAAUUCUUUUAUACCAUUGAAUUUUCUCAAGCAAAUUUAUAUUUAAAACAUUUUAUACAAAAUUUUACGAAAAUCCUAUUUGAUUUUUCAAAUAGAAUGUUAUAUCAGAAUUUGUAAGGACAAGUUAUUAACGAACAAUGGAUUUACAAAAAUAAUUAACAAUACAUUUACCAUAAUUACUAUAUGCAGAAAAAAUAUUUUGUCGACGUAUGUCGAUAAGAAAAAGAAAAAAAUAGAAAAGAGAUAAAAUAGAAAAAUCCGACGAAAAAACGGAUUUUUUCUUAUUAUUAUUUUAAACGGAUUUUUUCUUUUAUUAUUGUAUACGGAAAAAUGAUUUUUUCGUGCACAAUAAUAAAAGAGAAUAAAAUAGAAGAAUCUUAAAUCUUUAAUAGAGUCAAUACGGAAAGAUCAGAUGGAAACCUUCAACCUCGAUAUGUAAUUAUGCGUAUACGAUAGAAAGAGAAAUAGUGAAAAGAAAGAACAAAAUGAUGUUAAUAAAGAGGAAUUGUUCGAAGAUGGGAGUUUGCAGAAAGAGUAAAAGAGAGAAAAGACGAGAAAAAGUAUCGUGAAAAGCCGCUAAUGCUACAAAUCGGGAGGAUAUGAAAAGAAUAAAGCAAAAGAAAAACAAAAAGAAAAAGGUACACAAUAGAAAAGAAAAGAAAGAAAGAGAAGAGAAAGAGGGAAAAGAGAUAAUAGAAA
Long non-coding RNA from Vespa mandarinia (Asian giant hornet), 1133 nucleotides. The record is from RefSeq and is a predicted model, not a curated record. NCBI's taxonomy places the organism in Eukaryota, Metazoa, Arthropoda, Insecta, Hymenoptera, Vespidae.